CCUACGGGAGGCUGCAGUGAGGAAUAUUGGUCAAUGGACGAGAGUCUGAACCAGCCAAGUAGCGUGAAGGAUGACUGCCCUAUGGGUUGUAAACUUCUUUUAUAAAGGAAUAAAACGAGGCACGUGUGCCUUUUUGCAUGUACUUUAUGAAUAAGGAUCGGCUAACUCCGUGCCAGCAGCCGCGGUAAUACGGAGGAUCCGAGCGUUAUCCGGAUUUAUUGGGUUUAAAGGGAGCGUAGAUGGGUUGUUAAGUCAGUUGUGAAAGUUUGCGGCUCAACCGUAAAAUUGCAAUUGAUACUGGCAGUCUAGAGUACAGUUGAGGUAGGCGGAAUUCGUGGUGUAGCGGUGAAAUGCUUAGAUAUCACGAAGAACCCCGAUUGCGAAGGCAGCUUACUAAACUGUGACUGACAUUGAUGCUCGAAAGUGUGGGUAUCAAACAGGAUUAGAUACCCCGGUAGUC
Molecule: ribosomal RNA, 460 nt
Filed under: uncultured bacterium
Lineage: Bacteria
Description: partial 16S ribosomal RNA
Rfam family: Bacterial small subunit ribosomal RNA
Source: RNAcentral